This 4819-nucleotide long non-coding RNA is filed under the name Gallus gallus (chicken). The record is from RNAcentral. Lineage: Eukaryota; Metazoa; Chordata; Aves; Galliformes; Phasianidae.
CGGGCCGCGAGGCGCGGGGUGGGGCCGCCCCCGAGGCCGGCUGAGGUGAGGCGCUGCCCGCGGGGAGGGGCCGCGCCGCCGCCCUUAUCCGCCCGCGCAGCGCCGCCUGGGGCUCGCGAUAGGGCCGGCCGCCCCCAGCUCCCCGCCCUGCCCCGGCGGCGGGCCCCGAUCCCAUUUAUGAAGAUCAAACGUGAUAUCCAUCCUGAGAGCGCAACUGCGGUGAAUAAAUACCUCUGGCUUAGAGCUAAUUAAGAAAUAACAACCCCAGCUGUUGGACCGACCUGCAGAAGCCUUGUUGUAACCCUGACAUCUGCCCGCCUCCAGCAGUCCCUGCGAGUUCCUGGCCACAUCAGCCUUCCCUGGUCCUGCAGCAGCGUGCAGAGGAGACUGGCCAGGCUGGUGGUGGGUCCGUUCUGUGCCUGGAACUGUACGGGAGGUGGUCCAUCUGUCCACUGCAAGAUAACAAACAGCAUGAAAAUCCUCCAGCCACGACCUGGGAAGGGGAGGAGCAGCAGCAAGGCCAGAAAAAGGAGCUGCCCACACACACAUUGACUACCUUGAGAUCAUUUACUGAUUUCAUGACAAGCUGAGCAUCAGGUUUGACUCUGUGUCAUGUGCAUGGAGCAGGGGGAACUGUGACUUGCACAAAUGACAGACCUCAAUUUAGAUGCUUCUGUUUGAGCCCAUUCUACAGUGCAGCUACAGUGUUUCCAGAGUGAAUGAAGCCUCUGGUUCUCACCCGUUUCAUGUUUUCCUCUCAAAUUUAUCAAAAUCUCCUGAACUAGGCAGAUUUUGUAGUUUUUAAUCCUCUUCCACCUCCACAUUUUUAAUCUAGCAUGGAUUACACAUAAGCCAGCAAUGGCAAGCAAAGUCAGCAGAGCAUACAGCACAGGGGGAUGGGCUGUGGGCAUCACCAACGUGGGCUGCACAGCACAUGUGGGUCUCAGGAUCCCUCUGCAGCCAAAGCAAUCAGCUUCUUCCUGGCAGCCUUUUUUUUCCCCUCUCAUAAAGGGAACGUUGGGAAAAGAUGUCAGGUUUCCCUGCAUCCCACAUUCACAUUUGGACGUUAUUUCAGUCUGAAAGAAUGGCUUAUCUUUCACUUUUGCUGAAUUCCAGCAUAAGAGAGCACUUUGGUAUUUUUAAGCUAUGUUAAAAGUGUUUCUGACAGUGAGAAGUCCAAAAGAGGAACCCCUUAAGGUAGCAGCUCUACAGACAUUGAAUGUCAUUAACUGGAAAUUCAGAUUUAUAGAUAAGGUGAAAACCCACAAAUGCUAGAAUUAUCUCAAUAGAAACCAUACUCAUAGCAGUACUCAAAGCAUUCCCCUGAAGAAGGGGAUCUAAACAUUAAAAUUAAACCCGAGUAUCCAUUAAUUUUCUUUCAAAAGUAGCAGCUGUCCCCAGCACAAAGUGGCUACCUGCUACAGAAGGCAUUAAAAGAAAGUUCUGGAGUGCCAAUAAAACCACUGAAGGAAACAAAGACCUCACAGGGAUAUCGAGGGAAAGCAAAGCACGCUGUCCUGCCUCAAGAGUGCCCAGAACCAGAAGAUGAAGAUUGCUUACCGUGAUUAAAUUGUGUUCUGGAAGACUGCAUGCUUCAAUGUGGUCCUGGAGGAGCUGCUGUGAGAAGUUCUGAUGCAUCUGUGCUGCCUCAUGUGCAUCCAUUGCAUUUCCACAGGCUUUGUUCAGGUCUGAAAGACAAGAGCUUCAUUUGCUCACCAAGAACCACCGUUCACACUUAUCUUCUCUGAUGUGACUCUUCCCCAUAGUAAUGAAUGAAUGACUUAAACUGCCAAUAUAUCAAGGCCAUCCCACUCAGAAGGGCAGGGGCACAUUGAGAACCUGAGCCUUUCCUCCUUCCAACAUUGCAGGAUUUGAUGUUAUUUUAGUUUCCAAUCAUUCAAAUAACACUACGCUAAUUGGACAAGCAGGAAAGCACCUCCUUACCCAGCAGAGCCCCUGUGCUGCAGGCACACACACUCUCUAUGUUCUGGCACCAUCUAGUGGGAAUGAGGGCUCACCAGUUUGUCACCAUGCUUUGGCAGCACAGACCUCACAGCAGUUCAUUUAUUUUCCCUCCUCGUUCCCCUUUGCUUUCAGGCCCUCACAGCCUGCAGCUCUGCCCAUCCCCAACGCAGCUCCUAUUGUCUUGUUUCCUGUGAGGUUUGCUGGCAUAUAUUAGCUCAGCCACAUUUCAGAAUGGUAACACAGUAAGCAUGGCAAUGUUAGCUAACAGGGAUAAGCAGUGUAGAGGUGAGGGCUGAGACACACAGCUCCUGUUGGUGAACAAGUGCUGGCAUUCCACUGCUCCUGAUGGAGCACCUCUUCAAAAGAGAAUCUAUCCGUUCCAUGGGAGAGCUCUUAGAAAAACCAAAGCAGAAUGGGAAUGGUGCCUCUGUGACAGGAGCAGCAACAGCUGAACAAGGGACAGCCUUUCAUCUACAGUAGAUUCAUUAUUAUUAUUGGCAUGUUUUGUAUGUCAACCACCACUUGGAAACGAAUGAGAGAAGUUAUUUCAAUUGCCUAGAAGCAAUUUUGUAGCAAAGGCAGUAGCAAAGCAGAACAUAAGCCUGGCCCAGUGCUUGGUUUACAGCACCAUGCUUAUAGCAAACACGACAGCUUAAUAGAAACUGAAACUGUGGGGUAAGUUCUUGGGAAAGGGGUAGAGUUACUGCUUUAUUUUCUAGUGAAAGCAAAUCAAUUGCAGCAUUAACGCUGACAGUCUGCCAAGAAGCUAGUCAAUAUUUGAACAAAGCAUCCUGGGGCCCAUGCAAGUCAGAUUAAACAAUAUUUAUGUAUGAGAGAUAUAACAGUCUCUUGUAUUUAUUAAGGCCCCCACACAGAAGCAAAGCCUAAUAAAAUGUUUACUGAAGCAAGAGCUGCAGUCAGAGCAAAGCCCUGCAACAACAGCACGGAUGCUGCAUGGCUGUGACCUGCAGCCCUUCCCAAGCAGUCACAGUAUUCUGCACGCCCAUGCACUCAGUCUGCAUGACGAGCAUCCCCACACAGACUCCCAGUGAGCAGCAGUGGUUCUUUGCCACUCAUUUUAAGCACAAGACAUUUUCCUCCCUUACCUCUCAGCAGAGCUGAAGACCACAGCUGCACAGACAUAUCCGGGAUCUUGCUUGCAAGCUGCAUGGCUGGCACUACCAUAUUAUUACUUUCCUGGUGAAAAGCAGACAUCAACAUCAAAGACGUACUUUUUCCCCUUCCAAAUAUGUAAUGUAUCGAAGAGAUGCUUUUGCCUAAUUUAAUUGCUAGCUAGCAAGCUGAAAUGCUUAAUGGGACAAUAACGCAAACAGAUCAUCUAAAGCUGCCUGGAAUUUUGCCUUGUCCCAGGCAUUAUGGUGUCUGUGUUGUGCAAGACAAUAGAAAUAUUUCACACAUUCUGGCAUACGAUGAGAAUUCAGAAGAGCUCACACCCACAAUUCCUUCCAAGCAAUCCCACUGCAUGACGUUACUUGUCCUUUAUUCUAUUGUUUUUUUUUUCCCCCCCCGAGUGAUUUCAGGCAUUACAGAAACACCUAUCUCUACAAUAGCAGCCAAACACUACUGCUUUGUAAAGAGUGUUGCUCAGUGUGCAAGAAUGGUGUAUAUCCACGAGCUGCCGGCUCUCAGUGGGGCACCUACAUACAAACACUCCUGAACACAACCUGAGAAGCGCCCCAAUUUGCUCUGGCAAAUCAAUAAGCACACAGUAGCAGCAGACACACGAAGGCUUACCCUGUGAUUCCCUAAUACGUAGAAUAUAUGACCCAGGAGCACGAGGGAACAUGCUGUUAAUCGAUUCAAAUCUUCUGCAUUUGACAUUUUCAGCGUCUCUCGCAAAAACCGCCUGCCAACACAGAGCACAGCACGGAGCAAUUAACCAAAAUCUGCCUUCCCUGAUGUCUUUAAGAAAUGUCAUGAAGAACCCAAUGAACCCCAUCAGCAAAUGAGCACCCGGGAAUAAACGCGUGCUGCAGGUGACCUGAAACAAAGAGCUCCAUUCCCAAACCUCACCUUUCAUUUAGCAAGAAGGACUAUAACAUAUCCCCCUUUGAAAAGCCUUUCUUUCAGGUGGGCCACUGCAGAACACCACACAAGUAUUACUCAGAGCAAAAGAGAUGUAAAACAGUCUUUGCCUCAAGCGAAACAGAAGGUUGGCUAAACCCACGGGGAACCCAGGAGGUUGGAAAGCAAAGCCUUUGAGUUUUCGUGUUGAGUUUAAAUCCCGAUUUGGUUUUUCCUUCUCCCCCCCCUUCCAGGUGCAGAGCUUUGUACUCACUUUGCCUCGUUGUAUCUUCCUUGGAAGAAGGAGAACAGACCUCGGAUAUAGAAAGCUGCUGCUCGAAGGCAGUGGGAGCUACAAACAAAGCAGAACGUUGACAUUGAGGCACUGCACAGCGACAAACACAGCACGGGCUGUGUCCCAUAACCAAACCUCUGCACAAAACAUUACAUUGAACAAACAGUCAGAGCUUCUGCCUUGAAAAGAAGAGGAUUAUUCUGUCUUCUGUGAAUAAAGCCUGAUACAAAACCAGUAUUACCAUCAUCAGUGCAACAUCAGCACAGUUUCUGGAACUCUCACCUCACAGGAAAAUUGUGGUCUGGAUUUAUCCUUUCCAAUAAGCUGUAAAGCUGCAAAGUGAGAGGGGAAAAAGGAUAAUCAGUGCUUCUGACAUAUACAGCUGAUGGUAUAGACAGCAUGAGUCUGACACAAAGUGCACAUCACAUCAAAACAUUCAAGUCACUACAAACACACUGACAUUUACUUAUAUUGGUUAAAUCAAACAACAGGUGUUCCAAUGCUAGAAAUUAUGUCCAUUCUGGUCCUAGAAAC